CUACUAUACUCAAGGACGUGCACAGUCGGAUUCCUGACUUGGCUAGCGAAGGCCAUCGAGUCAAACACUCCGGAUAUUCCCAUACUGACUCAGUGCCUUAUCUUUAGCUUUGACUCGUUCGUAGGAAUCGGGGACUAUUUAUCUCCUUUGAAGUAGAAUGAAUCCUAUCUGUAAAAUUCGUUGAUCUUAAUAAAAAUGAUGCAGAAAUGAAUCAGAUAUUGAAAGGUGUCAAUAUUUUUAUUUUUGAUUAAGAUUCCAAGCAAAGAAAUGUAAGCAUAAUUAUGGACACCAUUUAUCCGCGUAAGCGCAUCCUUCCGGAAAGAAGUGCAGUGAUCAAUGUAUACGAUUCAAUGUCAAAUGUUGUUCCUCUCCUCAUGUUUCUCGGAGAGUUUUUGUCAAUUCUGUGGAUUAUUGUGAAUUAAUCGGCCCGUCUAUGCGCAAGGAUAGUUUGAUUUCACCAUGCCGAAUAAAUGUGGGGUUGUAAACUGCAAGGUAACUAGAAUAAAGACAAUACAUGUCGAGUGCUCAAGGUACCAAAAGAAGGACUUGAGGGACAAAGAUGGCUUUCUGUUUUACCCCCUCGUGAAAACUUAUCUGUGAAAGGCAUUGGCCAUCAGAUUAUCCUGUGAUUAAAUUACCUGGAGGAUACACUCGACCAAUAGAUCCGCCGAGUUUUUUUGAUGUUCCCUCGUCUUGCCUACCAACGCCAAAACCACCCCCUCGUCCAUCCAAACAAGAAGAUCAGCAACUCCGUCAUUUCAUGAAAAAAGGCAAAAUCUGUAGCCUUUCAGAAUUUUCUCCAGAAAAGGAACUCCACAAGAAAUAUGACAAUUUAAUUCUUUCAAGAACAGAGGACAGAUUUGUUUGCCUGUUUAUGACCGAGCAUUGUGAAGAGUGUGUUUUAUCAGUAGUUGUUGAGAAUAAACCAACAUUGUGCUCCCCUCUUACACUCACCGCAUUCAAGAAAGGAUCCAGAGUUCCCUGGGAAAAAUAUUAAAUCCAAAUAACGGAUUGAAUUCCUACACCCAAUUUUUUGAGUGUGUGCACGUCGACCUAAACUAUAAAGUUCCUUUGGAUGUUGUGCUUGAGAGAGUUGUGGAAGUAUUGGAACAAUCACGUUGCACAAAACUUGAAGACCCAAAGGAAAAGAAAAGGGAAAGAAAGCUAGACUUUAUAACUCAUCAGCUGAAACUGUUGACUCACAAACAAUUUUCUGUAAGUGAUUGCUGUUUCGCUAUCGAAUCGUUUCCCCGCUGCAGUUAUGAACAACUAAGAGACACUUUGGUCUAGCCAAGUACAAGAAAAAUAAAGUCUGUUGUUUCCUCCUUAGAGAUUGAAAGUGUUUUUUUAAAAACAUUUCAAAAACUUAAAACACCUCAACAAAAGAAUGUGUUUUUAUUGAUCGACGAGGUAAAGAUCCGACCCACUGUAGCUUUCUCUGGUGGUGUCCUCAGCGGCAUGGCCAAAAAUGAACCGGAUUCUAGAGCGACAUCCAUGUUAUGUAUCAUGGUCAAAUGCUUGCAUGGUGGACCUAGCAUUAUGAUGUCAGUGAUACCAGUACAUAAACUUACAGCAUCAUUUCAAUUCGAGGCUGUGAAGGAGGCUACGGCUCUAGUAGAAAAGACAGGAGGCAUUGUGAACCCCCUAUAUGUCUACGUAUGAACUGACUAGGAUUGGACUUUCCUUUGUAAAGAAAGCAAAAAAUAGAGUAUGUUGUCGUCAGAGACUUGUUGGAAUUCUAUCAACCAUGGGGGAAUUUAACGACUUCGACAUCGUUCAGUCCAAGAAACUGCUCCGUCAUCUCGCAAAUGUCUUACUCCGCGGUCUGCACAAUCUAGAGAAGGAUCACCAAAAGAAUGCAGCCCUGCUACAGACAUCCAUCAAGAAGGCACGUAAGGCGGAUUCACUUGGCGAUCUCAGCUCUGUACUUUGCGAAAUCUGGGAGCCAUCGAGGAAAAGAGAGGUGUAACGUUUGGAGAGAAAGCCUUUGGCUUUGGCGCACUGACUCAGAAAAUUGGAUGUCUCCAGUCCUAUUACACAAAACCUCUGAGGUCGUUCAACUCUUUCCACUGCUAAUGUGAGAAGCAGUGGUGGCCACGUUGCUGCACAGCACCAGCACAGAUGGAGACCCACAUCCUGACAGAUGCCCACUUACUGGUGAAAACAACUGGUGCUUUUACAUUAUAACACAGACAGGUCAAACACAGAAGACUAAAAAUCACGCAUCCGUAGAACUGUGCCUGCGGUCCCGGGUUGUUUUUUUCCUUCU
RNAcentral lists this long non-coding RNA (2269 nucleotides) under Aplysia californica (California sea hare). Its description in RNAcentral is "uncharacterized LOC106013461, transcript variant X2". The record is from RNAcentral. Lineage: Eukaryota; Metazoa; Mollusca; Gastropoda; Aplysiida; Aplysiidae.